This 380-nucleotide ribosomal RNA is filed under the name uncultured eukaryote. Its description in RNAcentral is "partial 18S ribosomal RNA". It matches the Rfam family "Eukaryotic small subunit ribosomal RNA", at positions 592 to 976 of the family's 1831-position model. The record is from RNAcentral.
CAAUAGCGUAUAUUAAAGUUGUUGCAGUUAAAAAGCUCGUAGUUGGAUUUGUGGCGUACGGUGUGUUCCGGGCACUUGUUGUCUGAGUAACCUGCUGCUGCCAUCCUUGGGUGGAACCUGUGUGACAUUAGGUUGUCGUGCAGGGGAUGCCCAUCAUUUACUGUGAAAAAAUUAGAGUGUUCAAAGCAGGCUUAUGCCGUUGAAUAUAUUAGCAUGGAAUAAUGAGAUAGGACUUUUUUGCUAUUUUGUUGGUUUGCGCAAAGAGGUAAUAAUUAAUAGGGACAGUUGGGGGUAUUCGUAAUCCAUUGUCAGAGGUGAAAUUCUUGGAUUUUUGGAAGACGAACUACUGCGAAAGCAUUUACCAAGGAUGUUUUCAUUAA